AGGAACCUGGUGGGCUGCGGUCCAUGGGGUCACAAAGAGGCGGACAUGACUGAGCCACUACGCACAGCACAUUGUGUGUCUAUGUAUCCGACCGUGAGGGCAGUGUCUCAGUAUGUCUUAGGACACAGUAGAUGCCAAAUAAAUGUUGAAUGAAAUGAGAGAGCAAAUGAAUGAUGACACGAUGGCCUGCAAAGGCCCUAGCACGUGUAGCUAUUUGGUGUUGGAAAUGUGAAAGUGAGAUGGGCUCAGUGACCAGGCAAGCCUCAUGUAAAUGAGUGGCAGGAACUCCUUGACCUUCUGGCACAAGCAUCCAAAACUGGGUUCCAGUCAGUUGGUGCAAGAAGAAGAUAUCUCAAGAGGGCCUGUCACUUGUUCCCACCAUCUGGGGUCUUAAUUGUGGCAUGCGGGAUCUAGUUCCUUGAUCAAGGAUGGAACCCCGGGCCUCUGCAUUCGGAGCUCGAAGUCUUAGCCAUUGGACCACCAAGGAAGUCCCUAUGGUCGGUAUUUUUAUCAGCAAGUAAUUUCAUCUCUGUGUGCCUCAGUUUCUUCACCUGUAAAAUGAAAGUAGUAACUCCUUCACAGGGUUGUUGGAAGAUCUGUAUGGGUUAAUACAUGGGAGGCAUUUUGAACAUGUAAACUACCAUAAAAGUGCUUGUUAAAUUAUAAAACUACCUUGUUAUUAAUGAUGAGUAUGUGCUACACUGGGCCCCUGGCUGGUACAGAGA
Molecule: non-coding RNA, 725 nt
Organism: Odocoileus virginianus texanus
Lineage: Eukaryota; Metazoa; Chordata; Mammalia; Artiodactyla; Cervidae
Source: RefSeq, a predicted model, not a curated record